Molecule: long non-coding RNA, 4881 nt
Filed under: Homo sapiens (human)
Lineage: Eukaryota; Metazoa; Chordata; Mammalia; Primates; Hominidae
Description: HSALNT0403673
Source: RNAcentral
CUCUUUUUGACCUUCAGGCACCCUCUUGGGUCUUUUACAAGUGAACUUUCUUUCCUGUUUUAAAGCCUUUUAAAUAAACUUCCACUCCUGUGCUGAAACUUGCCUUAGUCUUUUUUUCUGCUUUAUGCCCCUCAGUCGAAUUCUUUCAUCUGAGGAGGCAAGAAUUGAAGUUGCUGCAGACGCCUGUGGAUUCACCACAAGUACAUUGGAGUAACCACUGGGAACAACAGGUUGCCUUAGAAGCUUUGCAGGUUGUUUUGUUUUUUUGUUUGUUUGUUUUUUUGAGACGGGGUCUCACUUUGUCGCCCAGGUUUGUUGCCCAGGCUGGAGUGCAGUGGCGCAAUCUCGGCUCUCCGCAACCUCUGCCUCCCGGGCUCAAGUGAUCCUCCCACCUCGGCUUCCCGAGUACCUGGGACUACAGGCAUGCACCACCACACCCGGCUAAUUUUAAUUUUUAUUUUGUAUUUUUAGUAGAGUUGGGGUUUCACCAUGUUCCCAGCUGGUCUUGAACUCUUGAGGUGAAGCAAUCCGCCCACCUCAGCCUCCCAAAGUGCUGAGAUUACAGACGUGAGCCAUCGCGCCUAGCCUUGCAAGUUGUUUUUUGUUGAACAGAAGAAGCUAUUCAAAAAUGUCCAGGACUCUGUUAUUUAUUCAGCAAGCUUACAAAGCCAUCUUUGAUUGACUGAUUCUUUGACAAUGACUAUCUGGAUGACACAGGAAGGAUGCAAUUCUGGCCUUGGAGAGAAAACUUGCAAGGAAAGGAACAUGUUUGAAUUUCAGAUGUGUUCCUCAAUGAAUCACUUGAAGAUGAAAAUUCUAAGUAAUCUCACCAGGUUGGACAACUGGCUAUGAAAUGGCAUGAAAUAUCUGUUCCCAAUACUAUCUGAUGGAAACACUGAAGUUACACUGAUGGCUGUUCAGCAUCAGUGGCCAAGAGCACAGAUAUUGGCAUCAAUCAGAGCUGGAUCUGCAUCUUGGCACAACUACUGCAUAAUCACAGCAUUCCUUGAGCUCUUGCUACCUGGCCAGGCAAGGUGUGAUGGGCUUUUAUAUGAACGAUUUCAAUGAGUAUUCACAACAAUCCUACCUAAUAGCAUAGUUGGCGUUAUUAUUAUGAGUUAUCACAUGGAGGUCUGCAACAGCAGUCAGUGUGUCUGAGUUGAAUCCUGGCAUUACCCCUUACUAUCUUUGCAUUAUUGAGGAAGUCCUUUAACCUCUUCAAGCUUUGGAUUCUUCAUUUGUAAAGUGGUAAUAACAUCUUCCUCAAUGUGCUGUGAAGACUCUAAAAGAAAAAAUAUAUAAAGUGCUUAGCACAGUGAUUGGUGCACAUGAGUGCUCAAUAAAAGGUGACUAGAUGCAUUAUUUUUCUGUGAAACAUUGAGAAUAAAAGGGAUGUUGCCUUGUAGCUUUCAAACAAAGACUUUUUGGAAACUUGAUAAAGAGGCCAUGAGAAUGCACCUCCCAGACCUUCUACCACAGGGCAUAGUAGAAGGCCAUUUGUAAUUGGCCUAUGGCACCAGCUACUAAGUUUUGAAAUGCAUGGGUACCUUUGCUUGAGGCUUGAGGCUAUACUUCCCAUGGGCUGCUCCUUGCCAGUGAUGCAGUGUAGUGGGGAUACAAAGGCAGACUCAUUCAUAGAGCCAUGGGACUCCUACCAGUGUCCACUUAGGCUCAAGGACUUUCUGCUAACUUUGUUGAACCUUCGUUAGACUGCACUGUAUUUCUACGAUGCUUCCAUGCAAUCUUCUCUCCUCUCUUCUUUGCUUGAGAUUAGGCUUGCAAUGGAGUCUUAUUGCUCUACCUGCUGUUUCCUUUCACACAGGCAUUCCUUCUAAUCAAUUCCUUGCAUGUUUAAUCCUGUUCCAGGUGUUGGCUUGUUAGAGGAUCUGAACUAACACACUUGCGUUCUUGUUCAGUGUACCCUGGCAAUCAUGCUGAUUGGAACUUGCAAAGGGUUUUUCCUGGCCCCUAUCUCAGGAAAAUGAUGUUCACCACUAUUUUCCUUAGAAGUCUCUCUUCAUUCCUCCAAUGGUUCCUUGACCUCAUUCAUUUGAUUUCCCACCAUAUUUUAACAGUGAGAGUCACCUCCCAUCACCCUUCUUUGAUUUUCCUUCCAGCCACCUAUAUUUAGUAAUUCAUUCUUCAUCUGCUCCUUUUUUUCUCUCUCUUCCUUGCAACUUUGAAUUGUAGGAUGUUUAGUGAGACAUCCUAUAUCCUUCAUAUAUCUUUGCACUUCCUCAACUUUUAAUUGCAGUCAACUUUGCAAAUUUGCAUAGAGAUUUUCUUUAUAUAAUUAAGUUACAUAUAAUGGAAUUUUUACCGUUUUUGUGAUUCUUUCUUAUAACUCUAUGUUCUACAUAACCCUGCAUUUAAAUACUCAUUCAGUUUAGUAUUGGACAAAUUACUUCUCUGAUUCUCAAACUCCUCGCUGUGAAACAGGGAUGAGCAUACAUGCCCCUUCUGGUUGUUGUGAAGAUUAAAUGAACACACAUCAAUGGAACCUAGCUCUGUGCCCAAUGUUUGGCAAAAGUUAGUUCAUUCUCCUACCUAGGUAACUCAAAAUCUAAGACAGUUCUUGGUUGUAUUAAGAAGAAAUAAAAUACUGCUUAAACUGAAAACAUUCAAAGAUAGAAAGCAGGCUCAUAGAAGUUAGCACAGCUAAGGGCAAGAUUUGAAUUCAGAUUUCCUGAUCCCAGAGUGUGCCUUAAUUACUAAUCAUUUAUUAUAAAAGAAGACAAAAAGUACUUCACUUCUAUCUUGUCAGUGUGUUAGUCUGUUUGGGCUGCUAUAACAAAAUACUAUAAACUGGGAGGCUUACAAAACAGAAUUUUAUUUUUCACAGUUCUGGAGGCUGGGAAGUCUGAGAUCCAGAAACGGGCAGAUUCUGUGUCUAGAGAGGACCCACUUCCUGGUUCAUGGAUGGUGCCUUCUUGCCGUGUUCUCACAUAGUAGAAGAAGCUAGUCAGCUCUCUGGGGUCUCUUUUAUAAGUAUACUAAGUGCAUUAAUCACUUCCUAAAAGUGCCAUUUUCUAAAACCAUCACCUUGGGGUUAGGAUUUUCACAUAUGGAUCUUGAGGGAACACAAACAUUCAGAUCAUAGCAGGUGGGUUCCCCAGAAGCAGACCCUGAGACAAGGAUUCAUGUGCAAGUGAUUUGUUAUUUAUUAUUUUCCUCCCAAGGGAAAUCAGUAAGGAAAUGAAGGAAGAAUAGGGAAGGAGAGGAAGCCAAACAAGGUGCAAUAUUGGACAAAAGUCCUGCGGAAGAUAGGUGUGGCCUGAUCCCAUAGGGGAACUUAGAGAAUAACGUGAGGCAGAGGAGCUUGGCUUUCAUACUCCUCUGCCCAGCAGCUAAGCACCAUCCAGAGAGAGGUAAAGUUGCAGGCAUUUCUGAAUCAACAUGUGCAGGGGAUGGGGGUGGGAAGCAGCUUCACUGACUGAGGGAAGUCUUCUAAAGAAGGGCUGGCCAUCGGGAGCAAGAGCAGAGAGGUGCACAAAAAUGGUAAAAGGGGUCUGAAGGGUCUCGGUGGAUCACCAACACUGUGUACUUCAACUCCAGCCUGCUCCCUGGGAGGCUGUUUUCACAGUUUUGUUUUCACUUAGAAGAUGCUUAUUUCAAAGAGCGUGCACGCAGCUGCAUCUUCAACCUUUUUCCAUUGACUGGAUUUUUAAAUACACACACACACACUCACACACACACACACACACCCCUCUAUUCCAAAGGCCAUCAUCAAACCGGUUUAUAACUGAAAUUUAAAUUAGGGUAAUAUCUCUUGGAUAGUUUCACAUUAAGGAAUGAUUAGUAUUCCUCUUGCAUAACUUCAAAGCUAAAAAAUCCUCAGUGCCACCAUUUUCAUAUUUCUUGAUGCUAUCUAGUCCCUUCUCAGAAUCAGCAAAUUAGGCUUGGGCAGGACCUGAUCUCUGCUUCACCCUUGCUUUUAUCUAAAAUAUUCUUGGCUUCUAUAAUAAUGAAGCUAAUACUUAUACAAUUAUGCCUAUGUGCUGGUCUAAAUGCUCUUUGUAUGUUAACUCAUUUAAUAUUUGCAACAACUCUGUUGUAAUAAGUACCAGCAUAAUCCCUGUUUAUGGGUGAAGAAACAGGCACAAAUGGGUAAGUAGUAGAAGUGGGUUUCAAACACUCUGGCUCUAACUAAAGUCCAUGUUUGUAAUCAUUAUGCUGAAAUGCCUCUCCACGAGGGAUGAAAGUCCCUCCAAAAGCAGCCUACAUUGAUUUCUGUUCCAUCUACUUUCUCAUCAAUGACUUCCUGUUAGCCUGAAUUGAACUAAUAAGUACUCAAGACUAGUAAAUACUUAGUUCCUGAACUUGGUGAUUCAGAUAGCAGGAAGCCCAAUGUAGCUUCCUUCCAGUUUCUAUUCUAGGCCAUCUGUGGCUUGCUUCAUAUUCUCUCCCAGCAGGACUCCACAGAGGCCAGGAUUUUGACACUUUUGACUAUUAUAAAUAAAACUGAUCAAAAUACCUCCUACAAAUCAUAUGACAUAAUAGGGAAUUAAUAGACCUUUUAUUAAAUGAUUACAAAUCAUACUUAAAAAGGAUAUAACUGCACACUGUAUGAUAUAAAGCUUUAAAACAUGCACAUAAAUUGAUAUAAGAAGGCACUUAUGAAGUCCAUACAGUCAAAUUUAUUUACCUGUAUUUAUUUACAGGAUCUUCAGGGAAUGUUUCAGGUGGAGGAAGGGGCUCUUGGUCAAUGAGCCUGAAGACUGCAUGGCAACCUUUGCCAGCUUUUGGCCUGAAAACUCAACUUCUUCAUUUGAGAUAAUUCCUGUUUUAUAUACUUUCAUUUGAGAUAUUCCUGGUGUAUCAACUGAAACAAAAUCUAUGAAAUAUCAGAUUCACAAAAAUACAUUUUGAAUAUUGAACGUG